UCCAGCAUGGGCUACUCUGUCCACAGGUCAACAAGCCAUGUGUUGACCCAAGCUCCAGCAGGCAGAGGGUCACAUUCUCCUUCAGGCACCAUGUCUCUGGUAUGGGAUUCUCCAGGGGCAGAAAGCAAAUACCAGCUCCACCAUGGACCUCCAUGAGUAGCAGGGGAAUUUGCUGUGCCAUUCUCCUUCCUCCCCUUCCCACCCUUUUCCAGUCUGGUAUCCCAGAGGCUCUACCACCAUCCCUGAUGGGCUCAGCUGUGGCCAGCAGAAGGUCCAACCUGCAGCUAGAUGGAAUUGGCUCUGUCAGGCACGAGAUGAUACCAACUUGAAUAGGUGCAGAGAAGGGCAGCAGGAGGAACAGUGUGCUGUCUCUGUGGAGGACUGUAGAUCAUGAAGGGGAUAGGUGGCUACUGUAAUUGUAGAGACUACAUGUAGUUCAAGAACAAAGGCAACUAAACUCCUCAGCACUGGAAAAUGGAAAACAGAAGGUGAUAUCUGCUGCUGAGCAGUGAUGCUACAGGAGAGCCUCUUUCCAGAACAAAGAGGGGAAACAGCCAUGUGGGCAGUUUUAAUGUGGUGCCUGAUCCCUGUGUUAAAUGUCAUAUAGAACAUGAUUGCCUGGUAUAGAAAAACAGUGAGAAAAAAUCAACCUGAUGAUCAGCUUCGGUCUGUGUUUCUAACACUUGAUUUAUUGAAGGAUGACCUGGAUACAGACUUCAGCCCAAUUCAAUUUUCUUUAAUAAACUUUGGA
Molecule: non-coding RNA, 751 nt
Organism: Cyanistes caeruleus (blue tit)
Lineage: Eukaryota; Metazoa; Chordata; Aves; Passeriformes; Paridae
Source: RefSeq, a predicted model, not a curated record